Mytilus californianus (California mussel) is the source of this 2261-nucleotide long non-coding RNA. RefSeq lists it as uncharacterized. The record is from RefSeq and is a predicted model, not a curated record. The transcript is spliced from 3 exons. Lineage: Eukaryota; Metazoa; Mollusca; Bivalvia; Mytilida; Mytilidae.
AAACGACAGCAAAAAAAUUUUGUGGUCGUAUAUUGGUAUGACGUUGGCGUCGUCGUCGUCCCAAAGACACAUUGGUUUUCGCACUCUAACUUUAGUUUAAGGGAAUGGAUCUCUAUGAAAUUUUACCAUAAGGUUCAAUACCACAAAAGGAAGGUUGGGAUUGAUUUUGGGGGUUAUGGUACCAACAGUUAAGGAAUUAGGGGCCAAAAAUAAGCAUUUUUGUAACUUCCAGACAUAAAUUGUGUGUUAGUGUAUGGAUCUCUCUGACAUUGUACCACAAGGUUCCAUAUCACAAAGGGAAUGCUUGGAUUGAUUUUGGGGGUAAUUGCCUCAAAAUUUUAGGAAUUAGGGGCUAAAAAAGGGGCAAAAAACAAGCAUUGCCCAAAAUGUUUAGGAAUAAGGGGCUAAAAAGGGGCCAAAAUUAAGCAUUUUUCUAGUUUCCAGACAAUAAUUUGUGUUCAAGUGUAUGGAUCUCUCUGAAAUUGUACUGCAAGGUUCCAUAUCACAAAGGGAAAGCUGGAAUUGAGUUUGGGGGUAAUUGCCCAAAACGUUUAAGAAUAAGGGGCCAAAAGGGGGCCAAAAAUAAGCAUUUUUAUACGACCGCAAAAAAAUUUUUGUGGUCGUAUAUUGGUAUGACGUUGGCGUCGUCGUCGUCCGGCGUCGUCGUCGUCGUCAUCGUCGUCCGGCGUCGUCCGAAGACACAUUGGUUUUCGCACUCUAACUUUAGUUUAAGUGAAUGGAUCUUUAUGAAAUUUUACCACAAGGUUCAAUACCACAAAAGGAAGGUUGGGAUUGAUUUUGGGGGUUAUGGUAAUAACAGUAAAGGAAUUAGGGGCCAAAAAGGGGCCAAAAAUAAGCAUUUUUGUAACUUCCAGACAUAACUUGUGUGUUAGUGUAUGGAUUUCUCUGACAUUGUACCACAAGGUUCCAUAUCACUAAAGGAAUGCUGGGAUUGAUUUUGGGGGUAAUUGCCUCCAAAUUUUAGGAAUUAGGGGCAAAAAAAGGGGCAAAAAACAAGCAUUUUUCUAGUUUCAUGACAAUAACUUGUGUGUAAGUGUAUGGAUCUUUCUGAAAUUGUACUACAAGGUUCCAUAUCACAAAGGGAAAGCUGGGUUUGAGUUUGGGGGUAAUUGCCCUAAACGUUUAGGAAUUUGGGGCCAAAAAGGGGCCAAAAGACACAUUUUUUUCUAGUUUCCAGACAAUAACUUGUGUUCAAGUGUAUGGAUCUCUCUGAAAUUGUACUGCAAGGUACCAUACCACAAAGGGAAGGCUGGGAUUGAGUUUGGGGGUGAUGAAUCAUAAUGGGGGUUCAAAAAAUUUUGGGGGGGGAUUUAUUUUUUUUUCCUUUUUUGUUUCUUUUAAAAUUUUCCAUUUUAAGUUGGUUAUUUCUGAUUUAUAUUUAAAAUCAAAUAAUAAUGAUAUGGUAGGAGAUACACACCAAACAGGAUGUGUAAAUUAUUAUAUAAUAAGUAUUGUGCAAUAGCAAGAAAUUUUCAAUUGCACAGUAUUGCACAAUAGCAAGAAAUCUUCAAUUGCACAGUAUUGCGCAAUAGCAAGAAAUCUUCAAUUGCACAGUAUUGCGCAAUAGCAAGAAAUAUCCAAUAGCACAAUAUUGCGCAAUAGCAAGAAAUUGUCAAUUGUACAGUAUUGCGCAAUAGCAAGAAAUAUUUAAUAGUACAGGAUUGUGCAAAAGAAGAUACUUCCUAUAAAUUGCUUAUUUCUUGACCAAUUUCAAUGUGGUUUUAUUCUUGAUUUCAUGGGGUUCUUUAAUAUGCUGAAUCUAACCGUGUAUUUAGUUUUUGGAUUUUGGGCCCCGUUUUUAAAUUGGUCCACAUUGAGGUCCAAAGGGUCCAAAAUUAAACUUUGUUUGAUUUCAUCAAAAAUUGAAUUAUUGGGGUUCUUUGAUAUGCCGAAUCUAACUGUGUAUUUAGAUUCUUAAAUUUUGGUUCCGUUUUCAAAUUGGUCUACAUUAAGGUCCAAAGGGUCCAAAAUUAAACUUAGUUUGAUUUUAACAAAAAUUGAAUUCUUAGGGUUCUUUGAUAUGCUGAAUCUAAACAUGUAUUUAGAUUUUUGAUUAUGGGCCCAGUUUUCAAGUUGGUCCAAAUCGGGGUCCAAAAUUAAACUUUGUUUGAUUUCAACAAAAAUUGAAUAUAUGGGGUUCUUGGAUAUGCUGAAUCUAACCAUGUAUUUAGAUUUUUGAUUUUUGGGCCCCGUUAUCAACUUUGUCCACAUUGAGGUCAAAAGGGUCCAAAAUUAAACUU